RNAcentral lists this ribosomal RNA (372 nucleotides) under uncultured organism. RNAcentral describes it as "bacterial SSU rRNA". It matches the Rfam family "Bacterial small subunit ribosomal RNA", at positions 526 to 896 of the family's 1533-position model. The record is from RNAcentral.
CAGAGGUCUCAAGCGUUGUUCGGACUCAUUGGGCGUAAAGGGUGCGUAGGUGGCGGGGUAAGUCAGGUGUGAAAUUUCGGAGCUUAACUCCGAAACUGCAUCUGAUACUGCCUUGCUUGAGGACUGGAGAGGAGACUGGAAUUCACGGUGUAGCAGUGAAAUGCGUAGAUAUCGUGAGGAAGACCAGUGGCGAAGGCGGGUCUCUGGACAGUUCCUGACACUGAGGCACGAAGGCCAGGGGAGCAAACGGGAUUAGAUACCCCGGUAGUCCUGGCAGUAAACGGUGCACGUUUGGUGUGAGAGGAUUCGACCCCUUUCGCGCCGGAGCUAACGCGUUAAACGUGCCGCCUGGGGAGUACGGUCGCAAGAUUA